This 970-nucleotide ribosomal RNA is filed under the name Myxobolus sp. I NF-2015. RNAcentral describes it as "bacterial SSU rRNA". It matches the Rfam family "Eukaryotic small subunit ribosomal RNA", at positions 424 to 1289 of the family's 1831-position model. Lineage: Eukaryota; Metazoa; Cnidaria; Myxozoa; Bivalvulida; Myxobolidae. The record is from RNAcentral.
UGGAAUGGGGGCGUCAAUUACCCAUUCUAGACGGUAGGAGGUGGUGAAGAGAAGUACUGAGUGGUGGCCUUUUGGUUACCAACUUGGAAUGAACGUAAUUUAAGCAAUUCGAUGAGUAACUACUGGAGGGCAAGUCCUGGUGCCAGCAGCCGCGGUAAUUCCAGCUCCAGUGGCGUGAUUUAAAGUUGCUGCGUUUAAAACGCUCGUAGUUGGAUCACGCAGUAGUAUUCAGUUAUCUGGAUUUGGGCGAUGCUGACAUUUUUCUCCAUAGAUUAAUGAAUCUUUGCUAAUCCAGAUAAACCAGCUGAUUGCUACUAUUUGCACACAAGUAUGGUAUUUGGCCUUAAUUGAGUCGAGUAUCAUGUCUUGUGGAGUGUGCCUUGAAUAAAACAGAGUGCUCAAAGCAGGCGUAUGCUUGAAUGUUAUAGCAUGGAACGAACAAACGUGUAUUUGUCCCUUGUUAUUUGACAUUGAGGGCAACUUUGAUGUCGGAUACUUGUGCAGCACCCACCAAAAUACGGAUGUUGGUUUUCGUAUAAGGUGAUGAUUAACAGGAGCGGUUGGGGGCAUUGGUAUUUGGCCGCGAGAGGUGAAAUUCUUGGACCGGCCAAGGACUAACAGAUGCGAAGGCGUUUGUCUAGACCGUUUCCAUUAAUCAAGAACGAAAGUGGGAGGUUCGAAGACGAUCAGAUACCGUCCUAGUUCCCACUAUAAACUAUGCCGACCUGGGAUCAGUUUAGUGAUUUACAAGCUCUAGGUUGGUCCCCCUGGGAAACCUCAAGUUUUUCGGUUACGGGGAGAGUAUGGUCGCAAGUCUGAAACUUAAAGGAAUUGACGGAAGGGCACCACCAGGGGUGGAGCCUGCGGCUUAAUUUGACUCAACACGGGGAAACUUACCUGGUCCGGACAUCGAAAGGAUAGACAGAUUAAUAGAUCUUACUUGAUGCGGUGAGUGGUGGGGGCAAUUGGC